Molecule: ribosomal RNA, 245 nt
Filed under: uncultured Falsiporphyromonas sp.
Lineage: Bacteria; Pseudomonadati; Bacteroidota; Bacteroidia; Bacteroidales; Porphyromonadaceae
Description: partial 16S ribosomal RNA
Rfam family: Bacterial small subunit ribosomal RNA
Source: RNAcentral
UACGGAGGAUGCGAGCGUUAUCCGGAUUUAUUGGGUUUAAAGGGUGCGUAGGCGGUUUUGCAAGUCAGCGGUGAAACGCACGGGCUUAACCUGUGACCUGCCGUUGAAACUGCGGGACUGGAAUGCGGAUGCUGUGGGAGGAAUGUGUGGUGUAGCGGUGAAAUGCAUAGAUAUCACACAGAACACCGAUUGCGAAGGCAUCUCACAAAUCCGUGAUUGACGCUGAGGCACGAAAGUGUGGGGAU